GACGAACGCUGGCGGCGUGCUUAACACAUGCAAGUCGAACGGUGAAGCGCCUUCCUUUUUGGUGGGUGUGGAUGAGUGGCGAACGGGUGAGUAACACGUGAGUAACCUGCCCCCUUCUUCUGGAUAACCGCAUGAAAGUGUGGCUAAUACGGGAUAUUCUGGGUCUGUCGCAUGAUGGGUCUGGGAAAGAUAUUGUUUCGGUGGGGGAUGGGCUCGCGGCCUAUCAGCUUGUUGGUGGGGUGAUGGCCUACCAAGGCGGUGACGGGUAGCCGGCCUGAGAGGGUGGACGGUCACACUGGGACUGAGACACGGCCCAGACUCCUACGGGAGGCAGCAGUGGGGAAUAUUGCAGAAUGGGCGCAAGCCUGAUGCAGCGACGCCGCGUGAGGGAUGGAGGCCUUCGGGUUGUGAACCUCUUUCGCCAGUGAAGCAGGCCUGCCUCGUUUGUGGGUGGGUUGACGGUAGCUGGAUAAGAAGCGCCGGCUAACUACGUG
RNAcentral lists this ribosomal RNA (494 nucleotides) under uncultured bacterium. RNAcentral describes it as "partial 16S ribosomal RNA". It matches the Rfam family "Bacterial small subunit ribosomal RNA", at positions 28 to 507 of the family's 1533-position model. The record is from RNAcentral.